ACGAAGGGGGCUAGCGUUGCUCGGAAUUACUGGGCGUAAAGCGCACGUAGGCGGAUUCUUAAGUCAGGGGUGAAAUCCCGGAGCUCAACUCCGGAACUGCCUUUGAUACUGAGAGUCUCGAGUCCGGGAGAGGUGAGUGGAACUCCGAGUGUAGAGGUGAAAUUCGUAGAUAUUCGGAAGAACACCAGUGGCGAAGGCGGCUCACUGGCCCGGUACUGACGCUGAGGUGCGAAAGCGUGGGGAGCAAACAGGA
Molecule: ribosomal RNA, 253 nt
Filed under: uncultured prokaryote
Description: partial 16S ribosomal RNA
Rfam family: Bacterial small subunit ribosomal RNA
Source: RNAcentral